AUGUAGUGUAUAAUUGGAUAUAAGUACAUUAAUAACUUCUUUUUGUACGACAUUUGAAAGAUGCUCUUUUAAGAGAUAAGGGAGGUUUUACUUUAUAUGGAUGGAAAUUAUUCACAGCAAUAAUAUGUUUUAUAAGAAAAGAUGGAUAAAUAUAUUGAAAAGAACACUUGGUGGAAGAUAUAUUUUCAUUUAUUAUGCCUGGC
Molecule: long non-coding RNA, 203 nt
Filed under: Vigna radiata
Lineage: Eukaryota; Viridiplantae; Streptophyta; Magnoliopsida; Fabales; Fabaceae
Description: long non-coding RNA (VRAD_LNC016393)
Source: RNAcentral